This 449-nucleotide ribosomal RNA is filed under the name uncultured bacterium. RNAcentral's name for it is "partial 16S ribosomal RNA". It matches the Rfam family "Bacterial small subunit ribosomal RNA", at positions 29 to 523 of the family's 1533-position model. The record is from RNAcentral.
AACGAACGCUGGCGGCAGGCCUAACACAUGCAAGUCGAACGCCGUAGCAAUACGGAGUGGCAGACGGGUGCGUAACACGUGGGAACAUACCCUUUGGUUCGGAAUAACUCAGGGAAACUUGAGCUAAUACCGGAUAAGUGCGAAAGCAGAAAGAUUUAUCGCCGAAGGAUUGGCCCGCGUCCGAUUAGCUAGUUGGUGAGGUAAUGGCUCACCAAGGCGACGAUCGGUAGCUGGUCCGAGAGGAUGAUCAGCCACACUGGGACUGAGACACGGCCCAGACUCCUACGGGAGGCAGCAGUGGGGAAUAUUGGACAAUGGGCGCAAGCCUGAUCCAGCCAUGCCGCGUGAGUGAUGAAGGCCCUAGGGUUGUAAAGCUCUUUUGUCCGGGAAGAUAAUGACGGUACCGGAAGAAUAAGCCCCGGCUAACUUCGUGCCAGCCGCCGCUGUAA